RNAcentral lists this ribosomal RNA (335 nucleotides) under uncultured bacterium. RNAcentral describes it as "bacterial SSU rRNA". It matches the Rfam family "Bacterial small subunit ribosomal RNA", at positions 8 to 334 of the family's 1533-position model. The record is from RNAcentral.
AGAGUUUGAUUAUGGCUCAGGACGAACGCUGGCGGCGCGCCUAACACAUGCAAGUCGAACGGAGCUAUGUUGAAAGCUUGCUGGAUAUAUAGCUUAGUGGCGGACGGGUGAGUAACACGUGAGUAACCUGCCUUUCAGAGUGGAAUAACGUUUGGAAACGAACGCUAAUACCGCAUAAUGUCAGAGGACGGCAUCAUUCUUUGACCAAAGAUUUAUCGCUGAAAGAUGGGCUCGCGGCCGAUUAGGUAGUUGGUGAGAUAAUAGCCCACCAAGCCGACGAUCGGUAGCCGGACUGAGAGGUUGAACGGCCACAUUGGGACUGAGACACGGCCCAG